UGCCUACGGGGGGCAGCAGUAGGGAAUUUUCGUCAAUGGGCGCAAGCCUGAACGAGCAAUGCCGCGUGAACGAGGAAGGUCUUCGGAUCGUAAAGUUCUGUUGAAGGGGAAAAAGAGCGGAGAGAGGAAAUGGUCUCCGAUUGAUAUUACCCUUCGAGGAAGUCACGGCUAACUACGUGCCAGCAGCCGCGGUAAUACGUAGGUGGCGAGCGUUAUCCGGAUUUACUGGGUGUAAAGGGAGCGUAGGCGGCUCUGUAAGUCUGAUGUGAAAAUUUGGGGCUCAACCCCAAACG
This 293-nucleotide ribosomal RNA is filed under the name uncultured bacterium. RNAcentral describes it as "partial 16S ribosomal RNA". It matches the Rfam family "Bacterial small subunit ribosomal RNA", at positions 335 to 621 of the family's 1533-position model. The record is from RNAcentral.